AGUGAACGCUGGCGGUAGGCCUAACACAUGCAAGUCGAACGGCAGCACAGUAAGAGCUUGCUCUUACGGGUGGCGAGUGGCGGACGGGUGAGGAAUACAUCGGACUCUACUUUUUCGUGGGGGAUAACGUAGGGAAACUUACGCUAAUACCGCAUACGACCUACGGGUGAAAGCAGGGGAUCUUCGUACCUUGCGCGAUUGAGUGAGCCGAUGUCGGAUUAGCUAGUUGGCGGGGUAAAGGCCCACCAAGGCGACGAUCCGUAGCUGGUCUGAGAGGAUGAUCAGCCACACUGGAACUGAGACACGGUCCAGACUCCUACGGGAGGCAGCAGUGGGGAAUAUUGGACAAUGGGCGCAAGCCUGAUCCAGCCAUACCGCGUGGGUGAAGAAGGCCUUCGGGUUGUAAAGCCCUUUUGUUGGGAAAGAAAAUCAGCAGGUUAAUACCCCGCUAUACUGACGGUACCCAAAGAAUAAGCACCGGCUAACUUCGUG
RNAcentral lists this ribosomal RNA (492 nucleotides) under uncultured bacterium. Its description in RNAcentral is "partial 16S ribosomal RNA". It matches the Rfam family "Bacterial small subunit ribosomal RNA", at positions 29 to 507 of the family's 1533-position model. The record is from RNAcentral.